GGAGUUGUGGCUCAGCGGCAGAGCGCUCGCCUUGCACGUGUGAGACCCUGGGUUCAAUUCUCAGCGCCA
RNAcentral lists this transfer RNA (69 nucleotides) under Marmota marmota marmota (Alpine marmot). It matches the Rfam family "tRNA". Rfam says of the family: Transfer RNA (tRNA) molecules are approximately 80 nucleotides in length. Their secondary structure includes four short double-helical elements and three loops (D, anti-codon, and T loops). Lineage: Eukaryota; Metazoa; Chordata; Mammalia; Rodentia; Sciuridae. The record is from Rfam by way of RNAcentral. RNAcentral also lists the same sequence under 1 other name.